Molecule: non-coding RNA, 924 nt
Organism: Vicugna pacos (alpaca)
Lineage: Eukaryota; Metazoa; Chordata; Mammalia; Artiodactyla; Camelidae
Source: RefSeq, a predicted model, not a curated record
GGAAAAAUGCUUUUUACCAAAGAAGCAUUUGACUCCAGGAAAAUGAAGAAUCCUACGAUUCAAUAGGAAGGCAAACAAUCCAAUGGGAAAAGGAGCAACGGAUGUGGGUUUAACGAUUUGCAGCAGAAGAAAUACGGAUGGCCAUUAUAAAAGGGGGAAAAUUUCUCCCUCAUUGGUAAUCAGAGAAACAUAGAUGAACGUGAUGACAACCUAGCAUUUCAUAUCUGUUGAAUUGGCAAAAAAUGUAAAAGUUAAAACCAAACUUUUUCAGGGACGUGGGAAGGUCAGAAGCCUCCGCCAGCACUGGUGGGAAUGUAAAAGGCACCACCACAGGGGGAGCUAUUGUUAUCAUCCAAACAGCUGGAAUGGAAGCCGGAAACUCAAUCCGCAGGUGUGGACUAUUUAAAGGCAUUUCUGAGCUUCUUUCAGCUCACGAUGGAUGCUACACUGCUUCCCGGCACAACUCAGGCCCUCUGAUCCUCCUGCACACGUCAGGUGCUCCUUGAACUUGAUGCUGUGCUAUCGCUCCAGCUCCAAAUCAGAGGAUCUGGAGUUUGAAUGAGCGGAGUGUUCUGGCUCUACGGACCUUUUCUACAAUGUCCCGGGUGGUCUCAGAAGCCUGGAGUUCUGUCUGCAUGUUUUUCUCAGGCUGAGGGGAAGUAGCGGUGAAAACUCAGGAAUCAGACUGCCUGCACUCAAAUCCCAACUCCGCCAUUUGCUGGCUGUGUGACUUUGGGCAAGUGAUUUAACCUCUCUGUGCCACAGUUUAUGCAUCUAUAAAACGGGGAUGAUAACAACACCUCGGACAGGGCUGUUGGUAGGAUUAACUGAGUUCAAACCUGUAGAACUGCCUAGCAGACAGUCUGCACUGUGUUAUUUACUCUGAUGAACCUGCCAGGCUGAAGUUGGCUCACCUUCCUUCAC